This 30-nucleotide non-coding RNA is filed under the name Rattus norvegicus (Norway rat). Lineage: Eukaryota; Metazoa; Chordata; Mammalia; Rodentia; Muridae. The record is from RNAcentral.
UGAUAGCCCCAGGUGAACUGGUUACAAUUC